GACGAACGCUGGCGGCGUGCCUAACACAUGCAAGUCUACGAGAAAAGGGUAGCAAUAUCCUGAGUAAAGUGGCGCACGGGUGAGUAACACGUAGGCAAUUUGCCUUUAGGACGGGAACAACCCCGGGAAACCGGAGCUAAUACCCGAUAAUGCAGCGGCACCGCAUGGUGACAGUUGUUAAAUGCUCCGACGCAAGUCGGAGCGCCUGGAGAUGAGCCUGCGCCCCAUUAGGUAGUUGGUGAGGUAACGGCCCACCAAGCCUACGAUGGGUAGCUGAUCUGAGAGGAUGAUCAGCCACACUGGAACUGAGACACGGUCCAGACUCCUACGGGAGGCAGCAGUGAGGAAUAUUGCGCAAUGGCCGAAAGGCUGACGCAGCGACGCCGCGUGAAGGAUGAAGUCCGUUAGGAUGUAAACUUCUUUUGCAGGGGAUGAAUGUCCCGACUUGUCGGGAUUGACCGUACCCUGCGAAUAAGGAUCGGCUAACUACGUGC
RNAcentral lists this ribosomal RNA (494 nucleotides) under uncultured bacterium. RNAcentral describes it as "bacterial SSU rRNA". It matches the Rfam family "Bacterial small subunit ribosomal RNA", at positions 28 to 508 of the family's 1533-position model. The record is from RNAcentral.